GGAGCGUGAAGAAGAAGGCGAGGCCGGCGGCCAGGAGGACGCCCCAGUAGGGGAGCUGGAGCUGGCGGCCGAAGCCCUCGCAGGUGAAGAGCGAGAGGCCGAGCACGAGCAGCAGCAGCACCUGGAACCACCACUGCGGCACGGCGGCGUAGUUCCUCCUCAUCAGCCGGGCGUGCACGUCGCCGCCGGCGGCACGCACCGUCGCCCUGGUCUGCUCCCAUAUGGACCUGCCGUGGUAGAGCGCGACGUGGGACAGCGUGGCCGCCAGCGUCGCGAAGCUGAGCCCGUAGCUGAAGGCGAAGAAGAUGCUGAGGUGGAUCUGGCCGGCGCCGUCGUAGCCGGCCUGGCUGAACUGGAACGUGCCGGCGCCCAGCACCCUGUUCACGUCGUACCGGCUGCCGUUGGCCAUGAACACGUGGGAGGAGAUGAUGGGGAAG
RNAcentral lists this unclassified non-coding RNA (437 nucleotides) under Zea mays. Its description in RNAcentral is "misc RNA Zm00001eb033770". Lineage: Eukaryota; Viridiplantae; Streptophyta; Magnoliopsida; Poales; Poaceae. The record is from RNAcentral.